GCUCAGGAUGAACGCUAGCUACAGGCUUAACACAUGCAAGUCGAGGGGCAGCAUUUUAGUUUGCUUGCGAACUGAAGAUGGCGACCGGCGCACGGGUGAGUAACACGUAUCCAACCUGCCGAUAACUCCGGAAUAGCCUUUCGAAAGAAAGAUUAAUACCGGAUAGCAUACGAAUAUCGCAUGAUAUUUUUAUUAAAGAAUUUCGGUUAUCGAUGGGGAUGCGUUCCAUUAGUUUGUUGGCGGGGUAACGGCCCACCAAGACUACGAUGGAUAGGGGUUCUGAGAGGAAGGUCCCCCACAUUGGAACUGAGACACGGUCCAAACUCCUACGGGAGGCAGCAGUGAGGAAUAUUGGUCAAUGGGCGAGAGCCUGAACCAGCCAAGUAGCGUGAAGGAUGAAGGCUCUAUGGGUCGUAAACUUCUUUUAUAUGGGAAUAAAGUUUUCCACGUGUGGAAUUUUGUAUGUACCAUAUGAAUAAGGAUCGGCUAACUCCGUGCCAGCAGCCGCGGUAAUACGGAGGAUCCGAGCGUUAUCCGGAUUUAUUGGGUUUAAAGGGAGCGUAGGUGGAUUGUUAAGUCAGUUGUGAAAGUUUGCGGCUCAACCGUAAAAUUGCAGUUGAAACUGGGAGUCUUGAGUACAGUAGAGGUGGGCGGAAUUCGUGGUGUAGCGGUGAAAUGCUUAGAUAUCACGAAGAACUCCGAUUGCGAAGGCAGCUCACUAGACUGUCACUGACACUGAUGCUCGAAAGUGUGGGUAUCAAACAGGAUUAGAUACCCUGGUAGUCCACACAGUAAACGAUGAAUACUCGCUGUUUGCGAUAUACAGUAAGCGGCCAAGCGAAAGCAUUAAAGUAUUCCACCUGGGGAGUACGCCGGCAACGGUGAAACUCAAAGGAAUUGACGGGGGCCCGCACAAGCGGAGGAACAUGUGGUUUAAUUCGAUGAUACGCGAGGAGCCUUACCCGGGCUUAAAUUGCAACAGAAUAUAUUGGAAACAGUAUAGCCGUAAGGCUGUUGUGAAGGUGCUGCAUGGUUGUCGUCAGCUCGUGCCGUGAGGUGUCGGCUUAAGUGCCAUAACGAGCGCAACCCUUAUCUUUAGUUACUAACAGGUCAUGCUGAGGACUCUAGAGAGACUGCCGUCGUAAGAUGUGAGGAAGGUGGGGAUGACGUCAAAUCAGCACGGCCCUUACGUCCGGGGCUACACACGUGUUACAAUGGGGGGUACAGAAGGCGGCUACCUGGUGACAGGAUGCUAAUCCCAAAAACCUCUCUCAGUUCGGAUCGAAGUUUGCAACCCGACUUCGUGAAGCUGGAUUCGCUAGUAAUCGCGCAUCAGCCAUGGCGCGGUGAAUACGUUCCCGGGCCUUGUACACACCGCCCGUCAAGCCAUGAAAGCCGGGGGUACCUGAAGUACGUAACCGCAAGGAGCGUCCUAGGGUAAAACUGGUAAU
Molecule: ribosomal RNA, 1451 nt
Filed under: uncultured organism
Description: SSU rRNA
Rfam family: Bacterial small subunit ribosomal RNA
Source: RNAcentral